UACGUAGGGGGCAAGCGUUAUCCGGAUUUACUGGGUGUAAGGGGAGCGCAGACAGCAUUACAAGUCUGAUGUGAAGGCCCGGGGCUCAACCCCGGAACUGCAUUGGAAACUGUAGGGCUCGAGUGUCGGAGAGGUAAGCGGAAUUCCUAGUGUAGCGGUGAAAUGCGUAGAUAUUAGGAGGAACACCGGUGGCGAAGGCGGCUUACUGGACGAUGACUGACGUUGAGGCUCGAAAGCGUGGGGAGCAAAC
RNAcentral lists this ribosomal RNA (250 nucleotides) under uncultured prokaryote. RNAcentral describes it as "partial 16S ribosomal RNA". It matches the Rfam family "Bacterial small subunit ribosomal RNA", at positions 524 to 773 of the family's 1533-position model. The record is from RNAcentral.